Molecule: ribosomal RNA, 460 nt
Filed under: uncultured bacterium
Lineage: Bacteria
Description: partial 16S ribosomal RNA
Rfam family: Bacterial small subunit ribosomal RNA
Source: RNAcentral
CCUACGGGAGGCAGCAGUGAGGAAUAUUGGUCAAUGGACGAGAGUCUGAACCAGCCAAGUCGCGUGAAGGAUGACUGCCCUCUGGGUUGUAAACUUCUUUUAUAAAGGAAUAAAACGAGGCACGUGUGCCUUUUUGCAUGUACUUUAUGAAUAAGGCUCGGCUAACUCCGUGCCAGCAGCCGCGGUAAUACGGAGGAUCCGAGCGUUAUCCGGAUUUAUUGGGUUUAAAGGGAGCGUAGAUGGGUUGUUAAGUCAGUUGUGAAAGUUUGCGGCUCAACCGUAGAAUUGCAAUUGAUACUGGCAGUCUUGAGUACAGGUGAGGUAGGCGGAAUUCGUGGUGUAGCGGUGAAAUGCGUAGAUAUCACGAAGAACCCCGAUUGCGAAGGCAGCUUACUAAACUGUGACUGACAUUGAGGCUCGAAAGUGUUGGUAGCAAACAGGAUUAGAUACCCGAGUAGUC